UGGGGAAUAUUGGGCAAUGGGCGAAAGCCUGACCCAGCGACGCCGUGUGGGCGAUGAAGGCCUUCGGGUUGUAAAGCCCUGUCGGAUGGGAAGAAGGGUCCGGAGGUGAAUAAUCUCUGGAUCUUGACGGUACCAUCGGAGGAAGCACCGGCUAACUCCGUGCCAGCAGCCGCGGUAAUACGGAGGGUGCAAGCGUUGUUCGGAAUUACUGGGCGUAAAGGGCGCGUAGGUGGUUUUGUAAGUCAGAUGUGAAAUCCGUCAGCUCAACUGGAGAACGGCAUCUGAUACUGUAGGACUAGAGUGCAGGAGAGGGAAACGGAAUUCCAGGUGUAGAGGUGAAAUUCGUAGAUAUCUGGAGGAACACCGGUGGCGAAGGCGGUUUCCUGGCCUGACACUGACACUGAGGCGCGAAAGCGUGGGGAGCAAACA
RNAcentral lists this ribosomal RNA (429 nucleotides) under uncultured prokaryote. RNAcentral's name for it is "bacterial SSU rRNA". It matches the Rfam family "Bacterial small subunit ribosomal RNA", at positions 355 to 774 of the family's 1533-position model. The record is from RNAcentral.